AUGGAGAUGGUCCUCCACUCUCCUUGGGUCUCUGCGGCUCCUCCUCUCAGACAAAGUCUGCAUCUUUUAUGUGUUAAUGGUUUUGACAUCGACCAUUUGCCUCAUUUUCAUUUUAAGCGAUGGGCAGAGUCUUACUGCCUUUCUUCUCUGUUCUCCGAGUGCCGCACCCACUGUGAGCCGGCUCAUCAGCCUGAAAGAUGUGCGCCCGCGGUAUGUCAUGGAUGUGGCGGCCAAGGACGGGCAGCUGCUCUGCUCCGUGGUGCCGACCCUCGCCACGCAGAGGUAGGGAACGCGGGGAGCGAGCGGCGGCUGCGGGCGGGGAGCGGGGUCCUGGGCUUCGGCGAGACGCGACCCGUCGCGCCGCUGUGGAGCUGCAAACUGGUGCUGCGUGAGUGACCCGGAGGCUCGAAAGGGCUGUUCCUUCCCCCUUUACUUGCAAUAACUUUUUCAAAGCCCGUGGCUCUAAACGUUCCCGUGCCGCUGUGCUCCCUGAAAAGAGAUUCUUCCCUAUUGCAAUUGGUUACGUUCGGAGUCUGUAGGUUUUCUCUAGAAGGAGCAGCACACUUUGCACACAGAAUCACAGAAUGGCUUAAGCUGAAAGGGACCUUUAAGCCCAUCCAGUCGGCAGGGCUGCCACCCAUCAGACGAGGCUGUCUGUUCCGUUCAACCUGGCCCCGAGUGCCUUCAGGGAUGGGGCACCCACAGCUUCUCUGGGAUGCCGAGAGAGAAUGCAGGAGAAAAUGCGCGUGGGAAGGAAAGUGCACGGCACUCCAUUCCCAGGCUGCUCUUAUUUAUUCUCAGGCAACAGGUGAGGGAUUGUCCUGAGGAACAGGGAGUGUCUGUGCCCUCACUGAAGAUGAAGCGGCUCCCUCAUCCCUCAGGACUCUCUCACCUGCCAGCGCUGUAUGUUUGUUUUUCUUCCUUCCUUAACCUCACAAGAGAGACACUGUGAUUAAGUAUAUGCUGUACCGAUGCACUGACCACAGAGCAAAGGCAUGCACCCUGCAGAUAUUUCCUGCGUUGUGAACUGGUGGCAUCAUAUCUCAUCACACGUCUGGGCAGAUAGAAGAAGACCCCCGAGGGCAUUGGUGCAGGAUGAAGGGUGUGCCACCGACAUACUGCUGGGAGGACUAAUGGGGAGCCAGGGGCACACUGCGUCUGAGGAGCAGAUAAUAAGGCAAACAGAGGAAGCUUUAGUUCAGCAUAAAUUGACUUGAUACGCGUCACAUUGUCUGUACCUUCUCUCACAGCGCUACUCAGUCUCCUGCUCCAAUAAGGGGGAAGUGAGCACAGGAGAAUGGCAGAAACUGAAGAAUAGUUCUGACACAGGAACAAGUGGCUGUUAAAAAGUUUUAGGCUGUGUUUUUGAGUGGUUUCUAUUUGCCAGAGAAAGGUC
Molecule: long non-coding RNA, 1396 nt
Filed under: Coturnix japonica (Japanese quail)
Lineage: Eukaryota; Metazoa; Chordata; Aves; Galliformes; Phasianidae
Description: lncRNA (ENSCJPG00005012743.1)
Source: RNAcentral